CAUUACAUGCGGUUUGGCUUUUUAACUGCAGUUCUUUAAGAAUGCUUUUUUCUAUCACUGGUGUAAUUCUGAGUAUCUUACAGAUAGUUUCUAGUAGACAUUUCAAGAAAGAGAAGCCAAGAUCACUGAGGAGAAAACAAUGAGGCGGCUUUCUGAAUUCAUAAUGAAUUUGUGGAUCUUACUCUUUGCCUGUGUAAAUUUUGCGAUGCAAAACAGGAGAAGAUUAAAGUAAUUAAAUGACUGUUUCUAGCUGUUGGGUCACUUAAUUGCUGGCACUAAAUGAGAGAGAAAAUAAUUUGUUCUACUCUGCAACACUCAUUUUACUUUCCUUGGUUAUCUGGUCAUCUUAAACUUACCAUACCAACUGAAGUGCAUGAAAACAAAAGCAAUGGCUACCAGUUUUCUAGGAUAUUUUCUGUUCUCUUUUCUGGGAGAAAUUGUUUAAAAUGUUCACCUUGCACACAUACAUUUCUAUGAUCUGAAUACAAGGCCUCAAAUAAAUUCUCUGCUGGAGGUGACAAAUUUGUGUUCACUUAUUCAUUAUCCAAAAUCUCAAA
Long non-coding RNA from Rhineura floridana, 557 nucleotides. RefSeq lists it as uncharacterized. The transcript has 3 exons. The record is from RefSeq and is a predicted model, not a curated record. NCBI's taxonomy places the organism in Eukaryota, Metazoa, Chordata, Lepidosauria, Squamata, Rhineuridae.